ACGGGUGAGUAACACGUGGGCAACCUGCCCUUGAGACUGGGAUAACUUCGGGAAACCGGAGCUAAUACCGGAUAAUAUAAGGAACCUCCUGGUUCCUUGUUGAAAGAUGGUUUCGGCUAUCACUUAAGGAUGGGCCCGCGGCGCAUUAGCUAGUUGGUGAGGUAACGGCUCACCAAGGCGACGAUGCGUAGCCGACCUGAGAGGGUGAUCGGCCACACUGGGACUGAGACACGGCCCAGACUCCUACGGGAGGCAGCAGUAGGGAAUCUUCCACAAUGGACGAAAGUCUGAUGGAGCAACGCCGCGUGAGUGAUGAAGGCCUUCGGGUCGUAAAGCUCUGUUGUUAGGGAAGAACAAGUGCGAGAGUAACUGCUCGCACCUUGACGGUACCUAACCAGAAAGCCACGGCUAACUACGUGCCAGCAGCCGCGGUAAUACGUAGGUGGCAAGCGUUAUCCGGAAUUAUUGGGCGUAAAGCGCGCGCAGGUGGUUUCUUAAGUCUGAUGUGAAAGCCCACGGCUCAACCGUGGAGGGUCAUUGGAAACUGGGGAACUUGAGUGCAGAAGAGGAAAGUGGAAUUCC
Molecule: ribosomal RNA, 582 nt
Filed under: uncultured bacterium
Lineage: Bacteria
Description: bacterial SSU rRNA
Rfam family: Bacterial small subunit ribosomal RNA
Source: RNAcentral